CGCAACCUUCUUUCCACCGAUCAAAGCUGACCGCUCCUUUCUUUCGUUUGUUACGAAGGAUUCAAUUCAUUCAGCUCCUUCCCAUUCACGAUCGGCUUCUCUUCUAUAUAAGCUCACCUUCUUCAUAUUCUUUCUCAUCUUAAUCUCAUCAAUCAAAAUCCUCUUUUCUUUCGAAAGCUCUGAAAAAAAAAAUCAUCUUUUCCUUCUCAGAUCUCCAAUAUGCAGAUUUUCGUGAAAACCCUCACCGGCAAGACCAUCACUCUAGAAGUCGAGAGCUCCGAUACCAUCGAUAACGUUAAGGCUAAGAUCCAAGACAAGGAAGGCAUUCCCCCAGACCAGCAGCGCCUCAUCUUUGCUGGCAAGCAGCUUGAAGAUGGCAGGACUCUUGCUGACUACAACAUUCAAAAGGAGUCCACUCUUCAUCUGGUCCUUAGGCUGAGGGGUGGGAUGCAAAUCUUUGUCAAGACUCUGACUGGGAAGACUAUUACUCUGGAAGUUGAGAGCUCGGAUACCAUUGAUAAUGUGAAGGCGAAGAUACAGGAUAAGGAGGGGAUUCCCCCGGACCAGCAGAGACUCAUUUUUGCUGGCAAGCAGCUGGAGGAUGGCCGCACCUUGGCCGAUUAUAACAUUCAGAAGGAAUCCACGCUGCAUCUGGUCCUGCGUCUUCGCGGUGGGCUGUGAGUUGGUUUCGUCCUUUGUUCUGUGGUACUCGUUUAAUGGUGGCUGUUAGUUUGGUAUGGUGUAGUUGUGUCGUGAUCUAGUUAUCGUGUCUGGGAACUACUAAAGCCUUAAUGGCUUUUAUCUUUACUUUCUCUAUGCCGUUCUAAUAAAUCGUAUUAUUA
Molecule: unclassified non-coding RNA, 842 nt
Filed under: Hevea brasiliensis (rubber tree)
Lineage: Eukaryota; Viridiplantae; Streptophyta; Magnoliopsida; Malpighiales; Euphorbiaceae
Source: RNAcentral